Molecule: non-coding RNA, 102 nt
Organism: Armillaria borealis
Lineage: Eukaryota; Fungi; Basidiomycota; Agaricomycetes; Agaricales; Physalacriaceae
Source: the annotation of a GenBank genome assembly
GGCACUAUAGCCAAGUGGUUAAGGCGACAGAUUAGAAUACUAUGCUAUGAUAAAUUCAUCUGUUACUCUCUGAGUGCGCAGGUUCAAAUCCUGCUGGUGUCG